UGGUUGGAAUAUUGCAUAGUUUUAGCCAUUGGAUUUCAUUCAAAACUCACCAAAUGACUCCGCCCAUCAUAUUAUGAUGUUCCCCAGGUUUUGAACUCGAUCCGAUAUCGAUUGGUCCACGAAAUUGGACAAUUCAGGUUCGUACGAAGUUCGUUAUGAAAUGGUGUGGGUGGUGUAUUGCAUAGUUUUAGCCAUUGCAUUUCAUUCAAAACUCACCAAAUGACUCCACCCAUCAUAUUAUGAUGUUCCCCAAGUUUGUACUCAAUCUGAUAUCGAUUUGUCCACGAAAUUGGACAAUUCACGUUCGUACGAAGUUCGUUAUGAAAUGGAGUGGUUGGUGUACUGCAUAGUUCCAGAGAUUGGAUUUCACAUAAAACCCAACAAAUGACUCAUCCCACCAUAAUAUGAUGUUCCCCAAGUUUUUUACUCAAUCCGAUAUCGAUUGGUCCAUGAAAUUGGACAAUUAAUAUUCGUACGAAGUUCGUUAUGAAAUGGAGUGGUUGGUGUAUUGCAUAGUUCUAGAGAUUGGAUUUGACUCAAAACACACCAAAUGACUCCUCCCACCAUAUUAUCAUGUUCCCCAAGUUUUGGACUCAAUCCGAUAUCGAUUGGUCCAUGAAAUUGGACAAUUAAGGUUCGUACGAAGUUCGUUAUGAAAUGGUUCAUGGACCGUUAAGGUUCGAACAAAGUUCGUUAUGAAAUGAAGUGGUUGGUGUAUUGCUGAGUUCUAAAGAUUGGAUUUCAUUCAAAACUCACCAAAUGACUCCCCCAUCAUAUGAUGAUGUUCCCCAGGUUUUGAACUCAAUCCGAUAUCGAUUGGUCCAUGAAAUUGGACAAUUCAGGUUCGUACGAAGUUCGUUAUGAAAUGGUGUGGGUGGUGUAUUGCAUAGUUUUAGCCAUUGCAUUUCAUUCAAAAC
Molecule: long non-coding RNA, 917 nt
Filed under: Prunus persica (peach)
Lineage: Eukaryota; Viridiplantae; Streptophyta; Magnoliopsida; Rosales; Rosaceae
Description: long non-coding RNA (PPER_LNC008527)
Source: RNAcentral